Molecule: ribosomal RNA, 422 nt
Filed under: uncultured bacterium
Lineage: Bacteria
Description: bacterial SSU rRNA
Rfam family: Bacterial small subunit ribosomal RNA
Source: RNAcentral
GGAAUUUUCCGCAAUGGGCGAAAGCCUGACGGAGUGACGCCGCGUGGGGGACGAAGGCCUUCGGGUCGUAAACCCCUGUCAGAGGGAAAGAGGGGUGUCGGCGCGAUAACCGCCGGCAUCUGACGGUACCUUCAGAGGAAGCCCCGGCCAACUCUGUGCCAGCCGCCGCGGGAAGACAGAGGGGGCAAGCGUUGCGCGGAAUCACUGGGCGUAAAGGGCGCGUAGGCGGGAUGGCAAGUCGGUCGUGAAAUCUCUCGGCCCAACCGAGAAACGUCGGCCGAUACUGCCGUUCUUGAGGGAUGCAGAGGAUACUGGAAUUCCCGGUGUAGCGGUGAAAUGUGUAGAGAUCGGGAGGAACACCGGUGGCGAAGGCGGGUCUCUGGGCAUCUCCUGACGCUGAGGCGCGAAAGCGUGGGGAGCAA